AGGUUGUUGCCGUUGCGGAUUUCGAACCUUGCGAGGGAUCGAGACAGGAGAUAAUGUAAGAUCUGACAAAGGAGCGUAACGGCAACAACAACAACAACAACAACAAGCAAAGCUAUUCACACGAAGCAAGGAAAAUGUGCCAGUACAUGUGAGGACAGCGCCGCCUUUCACCUCCUGCUGAUUCAUUCUCACGACUUUGGUUAAACUCACAGACACCCGCUCGUCCUUGGCGCUGACUCGGACGUUGUUGCGUUUCCAGGACACGCUGGGUUCGGGGUGGCCUCGCGGAGGCACGCACUCCAGCACGGCCGGCUCGCCGGCAGCGACCACCACGUCGCUGGGGGCCUGGCGGAAAUCAUCCCUCAGUACUGGGAAGGAAACGCAGAGAAAUCCAAUUAGCCGGAGAGGCCCUGUCCGUCUGAUGUAUUUAAAGCAAAGAGUGGAAAUCGGACACAGAUCGGUGAGCAGCAGCGCGGCCACAUGACCGGCACCAUCAAAGGACACACCAAUUUGUCUUGGGAGUGGAUCAGAGUUGUUCUCCUACUGUAAGUGAACCAUCUUCUGGCUGAGGCUUGGUUGACAACGAGCUUAUUAGGAAAAUGUCCAUUAUUGUGUUUGCCUGUGCAUGAGCGCUCAGACGCCUGACAACGUCCUUGUUAGCCCCGCCUGUGGCCUGCUACUCUGCUGUCAGCGCAAAUGAAUAAUGCACGUCUCCUAGUCUGACACGGCGUAAACAAAUAACAGUGCAUUCAUAAUUUAUUCCAGAAAAAAAAGGCCCCCGCCUUAAUGAAGGGAUUGUCUCAGAUUUCAAAUGUUAUCCUACAAAUCUGCAGCCCGGCCCUGAUUUGAAUGAAAUCGAUAGGGAACGAGCGAAGAGGCUCCUGGCGUCGACCCCGAGGUUUCCGCCGCCGCCGCCCUCGGGAUGACGACUGGAUGAAAAGGUUAACGCGGUGACUCUCGAGGUUCCAUCUAAUCUUUUCCUGUGACUGACAGAUGAAAGCCUCAGCGUGAACAGUGAACUGGAGGCUUCUCAUCAGAUUUCCUGUGUAAUGGAAAGACACAGCACGGGCAUGAGGACAGACACACACACACACACACACACACACACACACACACACACACACACACACACACACACACACACAC
This is a long non-coding RNA of Betta splendens (Siamese fighting fish), 1146 nucleotides long. RefSeq lists it as uncharacterized. The transcript has 2 exons. NCBI's taxonomy places the organism in Eukaryota, Metazoa, Chordata, Actinopteri, Anabantiformes, Osphronemidae. The record is from RefSeq and is a predicted model, not a curated record.